Sitophilus oryzae (rice weevil) is the source of this 191-nucleotide long non-coding RNA. RefSeq lists it as uncharacterized. The transcript has 3 exons. The record is from RefSeq and is a predicted model, not a curated record. NCBI's taxonomy places the organism in Eukaryota, Metazoa, Arthropoda, Insecta, Coleoptera, Curculionidae.
ACUGUUACCUGAGAAAAACAGUAACUGAAAAGGAGAAAGGAUCAGAUAACCCAAAUCAGGAAUCUUCCAGAGUGCAGAUGUUGCAGUUUUUGUGAGUGAGACCUCAAGCAUAGCAAAGGAAUCGUACAACCUGUGAAUUCAGUUUAAUUACUGAGAUCAAGGAUGAUGAAACAUUCAUUAAGAUUAUACAG